GUUGAAGAACGUAGUGAAAUGCGAUACUUGGUGUGAAUUGCAGAAUCCCGUGAACCAUCGAGUCUUUGAACGCAAGUUGCGCCCGAAGCCAUUAGGCCGAGGGCACGCCUGCCUGGGCGUCACACGUCGUUGCCCCCCCAUCUACUCCUUCGGGAUUGCGGGGGGCGGAUGAUGGCCUCUCGUGCGCCUCGUCGCGCGGUUGGCCUAAAUGCCAAGUCCUCGGCGACGCACGCCACGACAAUCGGUGGUUGCGAAACCUCGGUUGCCUGUCGUGUGCGGUCGUCGCGCAUCGAGGGCUCGAAAAAAUUGCCGGGCUUCGGCUCGACUUUCAACGCGACCCCAGGUCAGGCGGGGUUACCCGCUGAAUUUAAGCAUAUCAAUAAGCGGAGGA
RNAcentral lists this unclassified non-coding RNA (391 nucleotides) under soil metagenome. RNAcentral's name for it is "partial contains 5.8S ribosomal RNA, internal transcribed spacer 2, and large subunit ribosomal RNA". The stretch from base 1 to 122 matches the Rfam family "5.8S ribosomal RNA", at positions 35 to 154 of the family's 154-position model. The record is from RNAcentral.